CCUACGGGAGGCAGCAGUGAGGAAUAUUGGUCAAUGGGCGAGAGCCUGAACCAGCCAAGUCGCGUGAGGGAAGACGGUCCUAUGGAUUGUAAACCUCUUUUGCCGGGGAGCAAAAAGCGGUACGCGUACCGCAUCGAGAGUACCCGGAGAAAAAGCAUCGGCUAACUCCGUGCCAGCAGCCGCGGUAAUACGGAGGAUGCGAGCGUUAUCCGGAUUUAUUGGGUUUAAAGGGUGCGCAGGCGGCGAGUUAAGUCAGCGGUAAAAUUUCGGGGCUCAACCCCGACAAGCCGUUGAAACUGGCGUGCUAGAGUGGGCGAGAAGUAUGCGGAAGGCGUGGUGUAGCGGUGAAAUGCAGAGAUAUCACGCAGAACUCCGAUUGCGAAGGCAGCAUACCGGCGCCCAACUGACGCUCAGGCACGAAAGCGUGGGUAUCGAACAGGAUUAGAUACCCGAGUAGUC
This 459-nucleotide ribosomal RNA is filed under the name uncultured bacterium. RNAcentral describes it as "partial 16S ribosomal RNA". It matches the Rfam family "Bacterial small subunit ribosomal RNA", at positions 338 to 795 of the family's 1533-position model. The record is from RNAcentral.